UAAUCUCUCCAGUCUUUAAUCAGAACGACAGUAUCAGUAUGGGACGCCAGCCUCUUAAUCGCAUGAUUUUCAUUUUAAUUGCCGUUGUUUUAACAAUGAUUCUUGAAGAUCGCGUAAUUAAUUGUAUUCCAACAUCCAAUGUCGAGGAAUAUGCAAAGAAUAUUUUCUGUCAACUGAAGAAAUCGGCAAAUAAAUCUUUAAAUAAACCAACACCUAUUUUUGCAUAUCCUGUUUAUUAUCCUUUAUAUUUUCAUGUACCGAUUUAUAUGCCAUCUGUGUAUUUUUUAGGAUAACUAAUUAAAUCAAUUUUCGCUUA
Bombyx mori (domestic silkworm) is the source of this 316-nucleotide long non-coding RNA. RefSeq lists it as uncharacterized. NCBI's taxonomy places the organism in Eukaryota, Metazoa, Arthropoda, Insecta, Lepidoptera, Bombycidae. The record is from RefSeq and is a predicted model, not a curated record. The transcript has 2 exons.